UUUGACCUCAAAUCAGGUAGGACUACCCGCUGAACUUAAGCAUAUCAAUAAGCGGAGGAAAAGAAACUAACAAGGAUUCCCCCUAGUAACUGCGAGUGAACCCGGGAAAAGCUCAAAAUUUUUGAAUCUGGCGGUCCUUUCUGGCCCGUCCCGAGUUGUAAUYCUAUANAAACCACCCCCCGCGCUGGAACARUAUUAAAAGUCGCCGGGAARGACCGCUUGGAYCUUGGA
Molecule: ribosomal RNA, 231 nt
Filed under: uncultured fungus
Lineage: Eukaryota; Fungi
Description: partial 28S ribosomal RNA
Rfam family: Eukaryotic large subunit ribosomal RNA
Source: RNAcentral